GUUGAUUGAAAUUAGUGGUCAACUUGCAAAAGAAGAAGAAAAGAGAGGUGGGUUGGAGAGGAAGGGAGAGAUUGGCACCUGACCUGAGUUGAAGCUUGAGAGACGGGUCUGAGAGCCUGGGGUUCAUGAAGAGUGUGUUCAUCUCCUCUUCGUCCGAGACACCAAGGGGGAAAUGCGGGGUCCGGAAGAAAUAUAUAUAUGGACGAAAGCGGGCAGGCAGACUCAGCCCGAACCGAACUUUAACAUCAUCUCUCCGUGCUCUGUCCGCAUCGCUCCCCGCUUAACCCGUUUGACAAAACAUGGUCAUCACAAAAUUAAAAUUUGUUCCACAGAUCUGGCCAUUCUUCUAGUCGAUAAGAGAAUGGGCAUAGGCCGAAUAAUCUGUUCUCGCUUGUAUUUUCUCGAUCCUACCUAGAUACAAACUUCAGGCCUCCCCACUCCAAUAUUAUCGUGAAACACAUCAAAA
Molecule: long non-coding RNA, 466 nt
Organism: Tarenaya hassleriana
Lineage: Eukaryota; Viridiplantae; Streptophyta; Magnoliopsida; Brassicales; Cleomaceae
Exons: 2
Source: RefSeq, a predicted model, not a curated record